Molecule: small RNA, 125 nt
Filed under: Marmota monax (woodchuck)
Lineage: Eukaryota; Metazoa; Chordata; Mammalia; Rodentia; Sciuridae
Source: RNAcentral
GCAGGGCGUGAUGGCGCAUGCCUGUAAUCCCAGUGGCUUGGGAGGCUGAGUCAGGAGGAUCAUGAGUUCAAAGCCAGCCACAGCAAUGGCAAGGCCCUAAGCAACACAGUGAGACCCUGUCUCUA